Rosa rugosa (rugosa rose) is the source of this 853-nucleotide long non-coding RNA. RefSeq lists it as uncharacterized. Lineage: Eukaryota; Viridiplantae; Streptophyta; Magnoliopsida; Rosales; Rosaceae. The transcript is spliced from 3 exons. The record is from RefSeq and is a predicted model, not a curated record.
GCGGUGGGUUCCCAGAGUGUGGCAAACCCCUCUCCUUCGGGAUUGAGGGUGGGACUUGUUCCCUACAUCGUUUGCCUCCGAGGAACUAAUAUCGCCUAAUCCUUUAUUCAAAAAAAAAAAAAAAAAAAAAGAGGAGGGCUUUUUCAAAUGGGUCUCAUCUUCUUGCAAAUAUAUCGAGGAAUUAGUUGUUCAAGGUGUUCAAAAUAUAGAAAAGAUCACCAUUGAGAGCUCGUCUUUGGCAUCCUUUAGUCUUGUGCAGCACUGUGGGUAACUUGUCAUCCUUAACAUCUCGGGUGAGAAACUUGAAGACAUAAGCAUCAACUGGACAUUUGAUUCAAGUAGUACUAAAUCUUUAAAUAUAUCUGCACCAAAUCUUGAAUGUUUGAACUGGUAUGGAAAUUUGGUGAAUCACCCAAAUCUUUAAAUGUAUCUUCUCCAAAGCUGUGAUUUACUGGAGCCUACAAAAGCAGGCAUUGACAACGCAUUUGAGGUUGUUUGCAGUUUAUCCAGGGUUGAAGAUCUUACUCUAAACCCAGAGACCAUGAAGGCAAAGAAAUUUAUGGCUCUUCUUCGCGAAGGAUCAAGGCCACCACCAUUUGAUAAUACAUCUGGGUUACUGUGAAGCUGCCCGAUGGGUCUAAAGAAAUUGAGUUAGCAAGGUAUAUGCUUGAGCAUGCUCGAAAUUUAACAAUAAUGGUCGUAAUUUUUACGUCUCAACAUUUGGAGAAAGUUACGAUGAAGUUGAAGACUAGGAAGAUGGUUUCCGGUGCUGCAGUUGUCUUUCAGGAAUACAGAUACCAAGUAACCAAUUCCUAUACUUUGUUUGUCAGAAUUUGAAAUAUGCUAUCUAUCA